This 495-nucleotide ribosomal RNA is filed under the name uncultured Lachnospiraceae bacterium. RNAcentral describes it as "bacterial SSU rRNA". It matches the Rfam family "Bacterial small subunit ribosomal RNA", at positions 27 to 507 of the family's 1533-position model. The record is from RNAcentral. Lineage: Bacteria; Bacillati; Bacillota; Clostridia; Lachnospirales; Lachnospiraceae.
UCGGACGUCCAGGAGUGAACGCUCGGCGGCGUGCUUAACACAUGCAAGUCGAGGCGAAGCACUCCACCGGAUUUCUUCGGAAGGAAGGUGGUUUGACUGAGCGGCGGACGGGUGAGUAACGCGUGGGUAACCUGCCUUACACAGGGGGAUAACAGUUAGAAAUGACUGCUAAUACCGCAUAACCCGCUAGGCCGCAUGGCCCGGACGGAAAGAUUUUAUCGGUGUAAGAUGGACCCGCGUCUGAUUAGGCUGGUUGGUGAGGUAACGGCCCACCAAGGCGACGAUCAGUAGCCGACCUGAGAGGGUGAUCGGCCACAUUGGGACUGAGACACGGCCCAAACUCCUACGGGAGGCAGCAGUGGGGAAUAUUGCACAAUGGGGGAAACCCUGAUGCAGCAACGCCGCGUGAGUGAAGAAGUAUUUUCGGUAUGUAAAGCUCUAUCAGCAGGGAAGAAAAUGACAGUACCUGACUAAGAAGCCCCGGCUAACUACGUG